UGAGGAAUUUUGCGCAAUGGGGGCAACCCUGACGCAGCAACGCCGCGUGAGUGAUGAAGGUUUUCGGAUCGUAAAGCUCUGUCAAGGGGGAAGAAAGUCUUCGGCGCUAAUAUCGCCGAGGUUUGACGGUACCCUUGAAGGAAGCGCCGGCUAACUCCGUGCCAGCAGCCGCGGUAAUACGGAGGGCGCAAGCGUUAUUCGGAAUCAUUGGGCGUAAAGCGCGUGUAGGCGGUUUGGUAAGUCAGACGUGAAAGCUCCGGGCUUAACCCGGAAAGUGCGUUUGAUACUGCCAGACUUGAGUUCGGGAGAGGAAAGUGGAAUUCCCAGUGUAGAGGUGAAAUUCGUAGAUAUUGGGAGGAACACCGGUGGCGAAGGCGACUUUCUGGACCGAUACUGACGCUGAGACGCGAAAGCGUGGGGAGCAAACAGG
Molecule: ribosomal RNA, 430 nt
Filed under: uncultured delta proteobacterium
Lineage: Bacteria; Deltaproteobacteria
Description: bacterial SSU rRNA
Rfam family: Bacterial small subunit ribosomal RNA
Source: RNAcentral